Long non-coding RNA from Gavialis gangeticus (Gharial), 1925 nucleotides. RefSeq lists it as uncharacterized. The record is from RefSeq and is a predicted model, not a curated record. The transcript is spliced from 4 exons. Lineage: Eukaryota; Metazoa; Chordata; Crocodylia; Gavialidae.
UAUUGAAAACAGCAACAGCAAUACUGAAGACAGCAAUUUUAUUUUAAGUAUUGCUGCUUUAGGCUGUGUCCUACCACUUGCAUAAUGUGAGGGAAAAGCAGAGGAAGAAUGUGUAAGGAACAUUUUUUUAUGUAAAUAGCUAGAGAGAAUGACUCCCAAGACUUGGUGGGCUGUGGGGCUUGGUGAGUCAUGAGCACAGUGUGAAAUUUAAGAUCUGCUUCAAGGUGGUGGGAAUAGCUGGCUAGGAAGGUCUGGCUCAUCCUCUGGAUAUUUUUUUCAUUGCCGGAGGAGCUGCUGCUGCAUUCCUACUACUGGUAGUUCUCCUGAUCAUCAUCAUCAGCACCGUUGUUUACCACAGAAAAAAGAAGAGGAGAAGGAUCAUGUCCAUGUCAAAGAUUUUUUACUCCACUCAGAACAGGCCCAUGAACAGUUACGGAAGAUCCAAUUUUGUUAGCACACCAAACUCAGAAAGAGAAGAAGCUUCCACAUCCAGGCAGACAGAGGACAUUUAUGUCAACUACAGAAACUUCUCACGCUAACCCAGGAUAAGAAUAUGAGCUGCUGCCUUAUGUCUGAAUUAACUAAUCAAAGUACUGCACAAUCAUAGGCUUCUCUUGAAUUAUCUGUUUAUACGAGCUUGACCUAUUCAUUAGUUUCCCAUCAACUGCCCAACUCUGGCUGUCUACACUGCACUCUGCAGUACAAUUUAGAGAUACCUAAUACAACUUUAAACAAGAAACAGGGAAAAUGACCUGCACUGGUCAUCCUGGUGGAAUGCCCAGACUGCUUUGGGUUCUUAUGUUAACUUGUUUAAGGUAGGUUUGGUAUAUCUACUAUACAAUGCAGUCCAUAUCUGGAGUGGGACAGUAUUUAUGUUUAUAUGAUUUAAACUUUCCUAGUCAGUAUUUUAAGCAAUAAUAUUUUUGGUGGGAGAAAUAGGUUAAGCACCAAAUUCAAUUCUGAUAUCAGUAUAACUUAAUCUGUUCACACUAGGUCUGAAUUCCAUGAAAGCUUGAUGUGAAAGAGUGAAGCAGAAGGAAAACCUGUUAUGUUUAGUCUAGUUGAAUGUAUUGAACCUCACCAAUGGCUAUCCCAAUCGAUUUUUUUUUUUUAUAGUGGUGGCAGUAUGAAACUUUUUUUGUUGCCUAUUGACAAUAUCCUUGGACGUGAAAUGAAACUGAAUUCCCCAAGUAAAAUAUAAUAGCCUUUUCCUUCCUUGCUUAAAGUUGCUGGCACAUGACAUAUUUGCUAAAUAGCUAAUUAGCCUUACUAUAUAGUAGAAAUGGAGCUUUAGUAAGUAGUAUACCAUUUGAAUCCAGAUUAAAGUUAGUCCUUGAAUAAUAAGUAAUAACCAUUAUUGUGGGAAGUUACUACUUGUGUGUCCACUUCUCUAGUGUAUUACAUCUAGGGGUAGUCAUUUGCUCAAUUCAAACUGACUCCCCUGCCAUCUAGUGGCCAGACAUUGUAAUGGUACACUUAGUUUGGAAGAAGUGGUGCAUCCACUCGCUCCUUAUUACAAAGUAAAUUUUACUGUGGAGUAAAAUUCAGGUAAACUAUUGCAUAGAAAUCUUGUCAUGCAUCCGCACCCUAAGGAGAGUUAGUAGGCACUGUCCAUCUGAUACAGCCCCAAGCUCAUGCAGACUUUCCCAGCAGUCGUUACAGUCACUUGGGCUUGCAUGAUUUUGAGAUGGGCUGGGCAGACUGCUUAACUCUCAGGAUAAAAAUAAAACCACAAGACUCUGUCAUAGGCAAGUUAUAGUUAAUAAUAAUUUAUUGUACGAUUUAGUUGCACAAAAAAUAAAUGAGACCAUGGAGAAUACAUGAGUAAAUGAGGCAAAGCAGAAAAAGCAUGGAUAAGAACAUUCACAAACUGAUAUAUAUGUAUAUACACACACAUAUAUAGAUGUGUGUGUGUGUGUGUGUGU